RNAcentral lists this transfer RNA (76 nucleotides) under Eubacterium sp. RNAcentral describes it as "tRNA-Val". It matches the Rfam family "tRNA". From Rfam's summary of the family: Transfer RNA (tRNA) molecules are approximately 80 nucleotides in length. RNAcentral also lists the same sequence under 9 other names. Lineage: Bacteria; Bacillati; Bacillota; Clostridia; Eubacteriales; Eubacteriaceae. The record is from RNAcentral.
GGAAGCAUAGCUCAGCUGGGAGAGCACCUGCCUUACAAGCAGGGGGUCACAGGUUCGAGCCCUGUUGUUUCCACCA